GAGGAAUAUUGCGCAAUGGGGGCAACCCUGACGCAGCGACGCCGCGUGGAUGAUGAAGGCCCUUGGGUCGUAAAAUCCUGUCAGAUGGAAAGAAAUGUAUAGCAGUUAAUAUCUGUUAUAUUUGACGGUACCAUCAAAGGAAGCACCGGCUAACUCCGUGCCAGCAGCCGCGGUAAUACGGAGGGUGCAAGCGUUGUUCGGAAUUACUGGGCGUAAAGCGCGCGUAGGCGGUUUGCUAAGUCAGAUGUGAAAGCCCUCGGCUUAACCGGGGACGUGCAUUUGAAACUGGCAGACUUGAGUACUGGAGGGGGUGGUGGAAUUCCCGGUGUAGAGGUGAAAUUCGUAGAUAUCGGGAGGAAUACCGGUGGCGAAGGCGACCACCUGGCCAGAUACUGACGCUGAGGUGCGAAAGCGUGGGGAGCAAAC
This 426-nucleotide ribosomal RNA is filed under the name uncultured bacterium. RNAcentral describes it as "bacterial SSU rRNA". It matches the Rfam family "Bacterial small subunit ribosomal RNA", at positions 356 to 773 of the family's 1533-position model. The record is from RNAcentral.